RNAcentral lists this ribosomal RNA (443 nucleotides) under uncultured bacterium. RNAcentral's name for it is "partial 16S ribosomal RNA". It matches the Rfam family "Bacterial small subunit ribosomal RNA", at positions 338 to 795 of the family's 1533-position model. The record is from RNAcentral.
CCUACGGGAGGCAGCAGUGAGGAAUAUUGGUCAAUGGACGCAAGUCUGACCCAGCAACGCCGCGUGAAGGAAGAAGGCUUUCGGGUUGUAAACUUCUUUUCUCAGGGACGAAGCAAGUGACGGUACCUGAGGAAUAAGCCACGGCUAACUACGUGCCAGCAGCCGCGGUAAUACGUAGGGGGCAAGCGUUAUCCGGAUUUACUGGGGGUAAAGGGCGGGUAGGCGGGAAAGCAAGUCAGAUGUGAAAACCACGGGCUCAACCUGUGGCCAGCAUUUGAAACUGUGUUUCGUGAGUGCUGGAGAGGCAGACGGAAUUCCUAGUGUAGCGGUGAAAUGCGUAGAUAUUAGGAGGAACACCAGUGGCGAAGGCGGUCUGCUGGACAGCAACUGACGCUGAGGCGCGAAAGCGUGGGGAGCAAACAGGAUUAGAUACCCUAGUAGUC